UGGGGAAUAUUGGACAAUGGGCGCAAGCCUGAUCCAGCCAUGCCGCGUGUGUGAAGAAGGCCUUUUGGUUGUAAAGCACUUUAAGCGAGGAGGAGGCUACUUGGAUUAAUACUCUAGGAUAGUGGACGUUACUCGCAGAAUAAGCACCGGCUAACUCUGUGCCAGCAGCCGCGGUAAUACAGAGGGUGCGAGCGUUAAUCGGAUUUACUGGGCGUAAAGCGUGCGUAGGCGGCUUCUUAAGUCGGAUGUGAAAUCCCUGAGCUUAACUGAGGAAUGGCAUUCGAUACUGGGAAGCUAGAGUAUGGGAGAGGAUGGUAGAAUUCCAGGUGUAGCGGUGAAAUGCGUAGAGAUCUGGAGGAAUACCGAUGGCGAAGGCAGCCAUCUGGCCUAAUACUGACGCUGAGGUACGAAAGCAUGGGGAGCAAACAGG
RNAcentral lists this ribosomal RNA (430 nucleotides) under bacterium. RNAcentral describes it as "partial 16S ribosomal RNA". It matches the Rfam family "Bacterial small subunit ribosomal RNA", at positions 355 to 776 of the family's 1533-position model. The record is from RNAcentral.